This is a non-coding RNA of Oryzias latipes (Japanese medaka), 302 nucleotides long. Lineage: Eukaryota; Metazoa; Chordata; Actinopteri; Beloniformes; Adrianichthyidae. The record is from RefSeq and is a predicted model, not a curated record.
UGCCCCAGUGGAGGACGUGGCUGAGCAGAGGAUUUCUUUCAAGUUCAGAGCCAUUGUGACCAAUCCCUCACAACUGCAGCACCAAACCUUCACUGGGAAGAAGAGUGUAUUCAGCAGAGCCUUCAUGGCAAAUACUGAAUGGACAUUAAACUCCUGCUAUUGAUUAUCAUGGAAGUACUGCUGGAAUGAAGAGAAAUAACAAAAGUGAUCUGGCGCUGAUAGAUCCACGUGGAGGCAAAAUGUACAGCAGGAAAAAGAUACAGAUGACGAGCUUGAUUGAACUUGGGAAUGGCACAGUAGAA